Molecule: ribosomal RNA, 253 nt
Filed under: uncultured bacterium
Lineage: Bacteria
Also listed under: 1 other name
Description: partial 16S ribosomal RNA
Rfam family: Bacterial small subunit ribosomal RNA
Source: RNAcentral
UACGGAGGGUGCGAGCGUUGCUCGGAAUUACUGGGCGUAAAGCGUACGCAGGCGGCUUGGUGUGUCGGAUGUGAAAGCCCCGGGCUCAACCCGGGAACGGCAUUCGAAACUGCCGAGCUGGAGUUCGGGAGAGGGAAGUGGAAUUCCUGGUGUAGAGGUGAAAUUCGUUGAUAUCAGGAGGAACACCGGCGGCGAAAGCGGCUUCCUGGCCCGAUACUGACGCUCAUGUACGAAAGCGUGGGGAGCAAACAGG